UCCUACGGGAGGCAGCAGUGGGGAAUCUUAGACAAUGGGGGAAACCCUGAUCUAGCCAUGCCGCGUGAGUGACGAAGGCCCUAGGGUCGUAAAGCUCUUUCGCCAGGGAAGAUAAUGACGGUACCUGGUAAAGAAACCCCGGCUAACUCCGUGCCAGCAGCCGCGGUAAUACGGAGGGGGUUAGCGUUGUUCGGAAUUACUGGGCGUAAAGCGCGCGUAGGCGGAUUGGAAAGUUGGGGGUGAAAUCCCAGGGCUCAACCCUGGAACUGCCUCCAAAACUAUCAGUCUAGAGUUCGAGAGAGGUGAGUGGAAUUCCGAGUGUAGAGGUGAAAUUCGUAGAUAUUCGGAGGAACACCAGUGGCGAAGGCGGCUCACUGGCUCGAUACUGACGCUGAGGUGCGAAAGUGUGGGGAGCAAACAGGAUUAGAUACCCUGGUAGUCCACACCGUAAACGAUGAAUGCCAGACGUCGGGCAGCAUGCUGUUCGGUGUCACACCUAACGGAUUAAGCAUUCCGCCUGGGGAGUACGGUCGCAAGAUUAAAACUCAAAGGAAUUGACGGA
This 562-nucleotide ribosomal RNA is filed under the name uncultured Paracoccaceae bacterium. RNAcentral describes it as "bacterial SSU rRNA". It matches the Rfam family "Bacterial small subunit ribosomal RNA", at positions 337 to 917 of the family's 1533-position model. The record is from RNAcentral. Lineage: Bacteria; Pseudomonadati; Pseudomonadota; Alphaproteobacteria; Rhodobacterales; Paracoccaceae.